GAGGAUGGCUUUUGCCCUAUGUAAAAAGUAGGGCGAAUAAGCGGGGGGCAAGUUCUGGUGUCGGCCGCCGCGGUAAUACCAGCCCCGCGAGUGGACACGACGAUUAUUGAGCCUAAAGCGUCCGUAGCCGGUUCUGCAAGUCCUCCCUUAAAUGGCACGGCUCAACCGUGCCGCGGGGGAGGAUACUGCAGAACUAGGGGGCGGGAGAAGCGGGCGGUACUCGGGAGGUAGGGGCAAAAUCCUUUAAUCUCCCGAGGACCACCAGUGGCGGAGGCGGCCCGCUAGAACGCGCCCGACGGUGAGGGACGAAAGCUGGGGGAGCAAAAGGGAUUAGAGACCCCUGUAGUCCCAGCUGUAUACUAUGCUG
Molecule: ribosomal RNA, 367 nt
Filed under: uncultured prokaryote
Description: bacterial SSU rRNA
Rfam family: Archaeal small subunit ribosomal RNA
Source: RNAcentral